Molecule: RNA transcript, 2882 nt
Organism: Ornithorhynchus anatinus (platypus)
Lineage: Eukaryota; Metazoa; Chordata; Mammalia; Monotremata; Ornithorhynchidae
Exons: 12
Source: RefSeq, a predicted model, not a curated record
GAGCCGGAAUUAGAACUCACGACCUCUGACUCCCAAGCCCGGGCUCUUUCUACUGAGCUGCGCUGCUUCUCCGAUAUGACCUUGUAAGAUGAGAAGUGACCUUGGUAAUGCUUUGAAGAUGAAGAGAGUGGUGGCCUGGCGUAUUAUGCACGGAGAAGGAGUUUCAGCUCGUGACCCCCAUGACACCUUCAGAAGCCUGGUGACCCCCACCGGGUAGCCAUCCAUCUCUGCUUUGUCCACCAAGGGACGUGUGAUACGACUGGAGGUGAGGCGGCCCUGACCCCGUGCGGAGCUCUGGCCGGGGCCGAGCCGGAGCCGGCUGCCCUGGAGCGGAGGAAGACGAAGACCGCGGCCCAGGAUUUCCGAGACGAAGUGUUCGUCUUCCAGGAUCAGCUGGGUCCAGGUCACCUUCUUGGCAUCCUGGGGACGAGGGGGAGGCUGCUGGGGGCCGACGGGCAGGAGGUGGAGCCAGAGGAUCUUGUUAGAGAGCUGAGCUCGUGCCGGGCCCUGAGGGGCAAAGCCAAGGCGUUCCUGCUGCCGGGCUGCCAGGGCGGGGCCAGCGACUUUCUGCCAAGCCUGGCCGAGCUCUGCACCCACUCUCCUCACGGGCCCCCGCUAUAGAUGCUGACCCAGGACCGGGCCGGAGCUGAAUGGGGCGUGGAGAGCAGGCGUGAAUUGGGCUUUGAGAGCAGCGUGAGGAGGGAUCCCACCACCCAGGAUUCCCAGGAUGAGAUGGCCCAGUUCCAGGCAGAGUUGGAUGCCCGUGGGGCCCUGCCCAAGGUACCUUCCCUCUGACUGGCCUCUUUAGUGCGGGGUUGUUUCCGGUGCUGGCUCCAGGCUGCGUGACGUGCAGGGACGAGCGAGGGUCGGACUUCGUCCAGACUCUGGUGGAGGUGCUCCUGGCUGAGCUGCCUCACUGCGACCUCCUGGACCUCCUGACUGAGGUAAACAGAACAGACAGAAAGGCGGACGUGCUCGGGCCUUACUCUGACGACAUUUGCAAGAUGAACCUGGAGAACCUGCGACUCUGCCUGCAGCAUUGCCCUGGAUGUGAGAUUCUGCCCUGCUGCAGGUUUCCAGGCAGUAACCUGCAGUGAUAUCGAACCAUUCUUGAGCCUUGCAAUGGCUGCGGAAUUGGGCGUUGUCCGGGCCUCCCUGGAGCAGCUAGCACCCCUGAUGUUUAGACUCGUGCCGACCCAAGAUUGCUUCCUCAGGCCCCGACCCAAGCCCCAAGGCCAUCCAUCAGCUAGUGCUGGAGCACUUCUGAUCCAGUGCCAGUUCCAGUGCCAGGGGAGAUCCAGUGCCAGUUCCAGUGCCAGGGGAGAUCCAGUCCCAGAGGCAGGAACGUCACCGGAGGUCCACACGCCAACUGCCACGGCGACCAAAGAUGUGAAUCGGAUCCUCCUGGAGAGAGUUGAGAAGUAGGACUUUAUGGGCCCGCCCACGCCCCGGCCUCCUGUCCUUCCCUGGGAGGGGAGCAUCCUUAGACAAGGAACGGUAUCGCAGGUCCUCGUCUUUGAACCCCAGGUGUCAUGAACGAAAGCGAGGCGCAACGUCAUCAACAGGAACGUCCGGUGAACACAGCGCAUAAAAAGAAAUCAUCAGAGUAUUGUGAAAGGGAUGUUCACCUUUUUUUUAAGCUGGGCAAGAUCUGUGUGAGAGAGACAGUCAGCCACAGAAGAAAAUGUCUGGAUGUGUCUAACUCCCUGGAAAAAAAAUUCACAAAUCUUUCAGUUACAGUUGAAAAGGAGAGUCCAUCAGGGAAACUUACACAGUACCUGGAGACCCUUUCUGAGGCUUUGGAAUUCCUUUUGGCUCAAGGUGCAAGACGAUCCUACAAAUGAUCCGCAUGUGGGAAAAGGUUUGCCAAGAGUUCUUAUCUUAUCAUACAUAAGAGAAUCCACACAGGGGAAAAACCUUAUGAGUGUAGUCACUGUGGGAAAAGUUUCAACCACAAAACAAACACGAGAGGGUUCACACCAGAGAGAAACCUUACAGAUGGACUUAUUGCUGGAAGAAUUUCCGCCAGAGCUCACACCGGUGACGGCAUGAAAAUACCCAUGUAAGGGAGAAACUCCAGCAAUGUCAUGAAUUUUGGAAAAUGUUAAACAGUAGUGCAAAACUGUUUCAUCAGAAAACCCACGUGGAAGAAAAGCCACAUAAGUGCCGUAACUGUGGGAAAAUCUUCAGUCGGAAAUCCAACUGUUCCAGGCUUGAGGGAUGCCACAAGGUCCAGAAGCCACAUCGACAUGCAGUCUUUUGGAUGAGUUAACUCAAGCCUCUGUUCUAGUCAGUAUAAAACAAUUCAUCAUGAGGGAAAAUCCUUACACAAACAGAAAUGUGAGAAAUAGUUUCAGAGAACUCAGGUCAGAGUGAGGCCCGGGAAAUGGCCCCAAGUGCAAAAAGUAUUCUUAACAGUUCAGACCCUGUUACCCAUUGGGGAAUUGUGAUGAGAAGAGACUCUGCGAGCCUCCACUGUACCCAGACUUCCUUUCAGGCACAAGCAGUCCCAUUGCAAAGCAACACAAUGGGAAUAAAAAGCAAAUUUCUUCCUUUGCCUUAACCUCCGCUCUGUACUCAGACUAAUGUGACUCCUGGGAUGGCUCCCCUCAGAAUGACCCCAGGAAAAGGAGAUGGAACAGAGUCUCCAAGAGGAAGACACCCACUCAGUGAGGAAAACUUUAUACUGACUUCUCCCAGGACAAGAUGCCACUCUCCUUCUGCUAAUGCCAACUUAUCCCCUUCAAGGGAUGACCUUUUAAGGUGGGAUUCUGUCUCCCUUGGCCCCUGUCUGCAAGAGGUGAACCUGCCAUCAGGAAGGAUAAAGACUGCAGAUUUCUGCCUCUUCACCACACUUCUGUUAACAGCCUCGAUUUCUACUA